This 345-nucleotide unclassified non-coding RNA is filed under the name soil metagenome. Its description in RNAcentral is "partial contains 5.8S ribosomal RNA, internal transcribed spacer 2, and large subunit ribosomal RNA". The stretch from base 1 to 120 matches the Rfam family "5.8S ribosomal RNA", at positions 35 to 154 of the family's 154-position model. The record is from RNAcentral.
GAUGAAGAACGUAGCGAAAUGCGAUAAGUAUUGUGAAUUGCAGAAUUCAGUGAAUCAUCGAAUCUUUGAACGCACAUUGCGCCCGCCAGUAUUCUGGCGGGCAUGCCUGUCCGAGCGUCAUUUCAACCCUCAAGCCCCCGGGCUUGGUGUUGGAGAUCGGCGAGCCCCCCGGGGCGCGCCGUCUCCCAAAUAUAGUGGCGGUCCCGCUGUAGCUUCCUCUGCGUAGUAGCACACCUCGCACUGGGAAACAGCGUGGCCACGCCGUAAAACCCCCCACUUCUGAAAGGUUGACCUCGGAUCAGGUAGGAAUACCCGCUGAACUUAAGCAUAUCAAUAAGCGGAGGA